GACGAACGCUGGCGGCGCGCCUAACACAUGCAAGUCGAACGAGCGAGAGAGAGCUUGCUUUCUCAAGCGAGUGGCGAACGGGUGAGUAACGCGUGAGGAACCUGCCUCAAAGAGGGGGACAACAGUUGGAAACGACUGCUAAUACCGCAUAAGCCCACAGCUCGGCAUCGAGCAGAGGGAAAAGGAGCAAUCCGCUUUGAGAUGGCCUCGCGUCCGAUUAGCUAGUUGGUGAGGUAAUGGCCCACCAAGGCGACGAUCGGUAGCCGGACUGAGAGGUUGAACGGCCACAUUGGGACUGAGACACGGCCCAGACUCCUACGGGAGGCAGCAGUGGGGAAUAUUGCACAAUGGGGGAAACCCUGAUGCAGCGACGCCGCGUGGAGGAAGAAGGUCUUCGGAUUGUAAACUCCUGUUGUUGAGGAAGAUAAUGACGGUACUCAACAAGGAAGUGAC
RNAcentral lists this ribosomal RNA (453 nucleotides) under uncultured bacterium. RNAcentral describes it as "bacterial SSU rRNA". It matches the Rfam family "Bacterial small subunit ribosomal RNA", at positions 28 to 494 of the family's 1533-position model. The record is from RNAcentral.